RNAcentral lists this ribosomal RNA (301 nucleotides) under uncultured bacterium. RNAcentral describes it as "partial 16S ribosomal RNA". It matches the Rfam family "Bacterial small subunit ribosomal RNA", at positions 509 to 807 of the family's 1533-position model. The record is from RNAcentral.
CAGUAGCCACGGUAAUACAGAGGGUGCAAGCGUUAAUCGGAAUUACUGGGCGUAAAGUGCGCGUAGGUGGUUUGUUAAGUUGGAUGUGAAAUCCCCGGGCUCAACCUGGGAACUGCAUCCAAAACUGGCAAGCUAGAGUAUGGUAGAGGGUGGUGGAAUUUCCUGUGUAGCGGUGAAAUGCGUAGAUAUAGGAAGGAACACCAGUGGCGAAGGCGACCACCUGGACUGAUACUGACACUGAGGUGCGAAAGCGUGGGGAGCAAACAGGAUUAGAUACCCCCGUAGUCCCUGUCUCUUAUAC